This 234-nucleotide ribosomal RNA is filed under the name uncultured bacterium. Its description in RNAcentral is "partial 16S ribosomal RNA". It matches the Rfam family "Bacterial small subunit ribosomal RNA", at positions 333 to 583 of the family's 1533-position model. The record is from RNAcentral.
AUGAUCCUACGGGAGGCAGCAGUGGGGUAUAUUGCACAAUGGGGGAAACCCUGAUGCAGCGACGCCGCGUGUGGGAAGACGGUCCUCUGGAUUGUAAACCACUGUCCCCAGGGACGAAGAUGACGGUACCUGGGGAGGAAGCUCCGGCUAAAUACGUGCCAGCAGCCGCGGUAAUACGUAGGGAGCGAGCGUUGUCGGGAAUUACUGGGUGUAAAGGGAGUGUAGGCGGGGAUG